UCUUUAUAUCUUUUGUAAAACAACAAAAAUAGUAGCCUUUCGAUUAACACGAAUCAUCAUAGUCGAUGAAAGGUAAGGUACAAAGGAGUUUUCCCUUUGGCCGAUUUCUCCUUCCCUCAGCCUUCCACAAUCGCCACCGUCAUCUCUCCCUUCCCCCAUUUCUCCUCCUCUCCAUCUUCCUAUCCUCCUCACCCUCACCCUUUCUUGAUCUCCGUCCAUCCCUUUCACCCCCUCUAUCUCAAUUCCUCUCCCUUGAUCCCCCUCCCGGCGUCUCUCUCUUCCACUCCGUCGAUUUCCAGUGCCACUGACUCCAAACUCCUAAGGGCAUCGGGUUUAGCUAUUCUUCAGUGUAAGGAUGUUUUUUUGAUUCCUUACAAUGUGCCAAAUGGAUUUGGGAAAACUGAAGAAUUUGGUUCGUUGAAAACUGAGAAACUUGGGAGUUGCUUUUUGGAUGGUUACAAAUUUUUGGUUUGUAUUAGGUUUUCGUGAUUUUGUCGUCAUGUGAUUAAAAUUCAAUGUUUGGGCAAAACUAAGAACUGCAUCAAUUAGUGACAUUCAAAUAUCUAAACAGAUGGAUAGCCCUUUGACGCGUAGCUCUACCCCUAAUUCCUCACCUAUCUCAAAUCCUGGUUCACAUGAUGAAAACCCACGCGUUAAGUUCCUGUGCAGCUUCUUGGGAAGUAUAAUGCCUCGCCCCCAAGAUGGCAAGCUUCGGUAUGUUGGGGGAGAGACAAGGAUUGUGAGUGUUCCGAGGGAUAUUACCUAUGAAGAGUUGAUGGUUAAGAUGAGGGAACUUUAUGAUGGGGCUGCAGUGUUGAAAUACCAGCAACCAGAUGAGGAUCCUGAUGCUCUUGUGUCAGUUGUCAAUGAUGACGACGUGAUUAACAUGAUGGAAGAGUAUGAUAAGGUGGGUUCUGGUGAUGGGUUCACUAGGCUCAGGAUAUUUUUGUUUUCGCAUCCUGAACAAGAUGCUUCUUUGCCUUUUGUGGAUGGGGAUGAGAGGGAUACUGAGAGGCGAUAUGUAGAUGCUCUUAAUAAUUCAAAUGACAUGAAUGAUUUUGUUAGACAACAACAACAAAAUUCCCCUGCACUUAGUGGCAUAGAUGAUAUGCACGGGACUGAACAUUUUUUGAAUCCAAUGAAUAUUGAAGGUAGUCUUCACACUCAGAGGAGUUGUGAGCCCUUGUCACAAUACCACCUGCAUCAGCUCACAAUCCCUCAUGUUGGGUCUGGGGGGCAACAACAAUCUGUGGCUCAAAGGUAUAGUGAAAUGGAAGCUCCAUGGAGUCCUGCUUUACUUUCACCUAGGCAUCACGGUCCAUAUGAUUCAAGACCAAUGGGAGACUAUCCAUCUUCUCCAUUUGCACGGUACCGUAUGCCAUUCCCCGAUUUGCCAGAUAAAUAUUUGGAAAGAAUGCCUGAAGACUAUGUCAGGCAACAAAUGAAUCACCAACAUAUGUAUGAACAUCAACCACAGUAUAAUGAGAAUAUUGUAUGGCUGCCAAAUGGAACAAUUAAUGAAGAAUCGGGUUUCCCAGGUAAUAUAUUACAUGGACAUGGUGUUCCAGAUGGGAAUAGUUCUUGUGAACACUGUCGAGCAAAUUUUCAUCGGUAUCAAGCACACAUGGAGCAAGUUAAUACCUUAAAUGGGCUUCCCCUUGAAUACACUCAGAAUAGGGAGGCCUUGAUGCAGAAGGCAGACACAAAGUUCCAUCAUGGUAUUUUUCCAAACGAGCAGAAUAUUAAUGAUCAUCGAUCUGCUUAUAAUGAGACACCACCCCAUGAGAAAGGAUGGAUUAUGCAACACCAAAUGAGUGUGCGAGGGGAUGACACGAGAACACAUGUUUCUGGGACUGGGCGAUUAACUGAUCACUACAUUGUGGAUGGUUCUGGCUCAAAUUUGCCUUCUACACAAAGUAAUGUUGCUGAUGGCUACCAUGCUUCAACAAAUUUUCAUGAUGAGGUAUUUCGUGAUCAGGUUGUGCCUAGUGGGCAACAUAUGUGUGUUCCUCCUCCUGAAGAUCGUGGUGUUGGUUAUAUGCCUUAUGGAUAUGGAGGAGAACCUCAUUAUCCUCCAAUGGCACAAAGGCAUAUGCCCGGAAACGCCUCUUGGCGAAAUGUUCAGAAUCCAUUGCAUGUUGCUCCCCCAUAUGAAGCAUCUGUUUUCCAUCAACAAGGGAAUGCAAGUAUAAAUCCAGGAUAUAUCAAAGCCAUGCAAGAUGGUAGUCCACGAAUUCAUAUGGGUGUGGACCACCAAAAUCCAUGGCAUGAAUCCUCACAAAAAGUUUUGGGUGUUGAUGGAGCAACUGGUACAGAGCAUUUACCUGCACAUGUUUUGAAGACUAACUCGACCACAGUUGGCCAUGACAAUCAACAAUUCACAAGUUUAGAACACAUCCAACCACAUCUUGAUAAAAUAAACCUUGUUGCUUCUCCUAUGCAGAGGUCAGAUUCAUCUUCAGCAUUCAUUCAAGAAAAAAUGGUUGCACCUUUUCAUCCUAGCCAAAAUCCACAACUAAGGGCUGUUAGUGCGGUUAAUGAAGCUAUGAUGAUGGAAAGGAAAGUUGUGCAUGGGGAAGGAAAUGGUCACAUGAUAAAGGAUAUGGGGAAACCUGACAUCUCUGAAGCACACACUGCGUCUCAUCCAGGGCAGAAUAACACUGAUGAUACAUAUUCCAAGGUUGCACCCCUUGAAUUGUUAAAUUCAACUUGCACAAACUCUGCAGUAGAAAAUGGUGAUGGCUUGAAACCUUCUGUAGAGACUCUAGAAAAACCUAAACUAUCUGUCAGCCGUCUGAGUUUCUUACCUGAGUUGAUUGCUUCUGUGAAAAGAGCAGCACUAGAAGUAUCUGAAGAGACAAUGGUUGAAGAAACUGCUCUAAGGAGACCAGAUUCAAUAGAGAAAAAAGAGACAACAAAUGAGCAACACUCCUCGAAUAACCAUGUGGAACCUGAGUUGGAAACGGAGAGUGAAAAUCAAAGCUCCAGAAUUGAGCCAACAAAAGCUGAAGAGGAAGCCAUUUCAAGAGGAUUACAAACAAUUAAAAAUGAUGAUCUGGAGGAGAUUCGUGAACUAGGGUCUGGGACUUAUGGUGCUGUUUAUCAUGGGAAGUGGAGAGGUUCUGAUGUUGCAAUAAAGAGAAUCAAAGCUAGUUGUUUUGCUGGACGGCCUUCGGAAAGAGAACGUUUGAUUGCUGAUUUUUGGAAGGAAGCUUUGAUAUUAAGUUCUUUACACCAUCCAAAUGUUGUUUCCUUCUACGGCAUUGUCCGUGAUGGUCCUGAUGGUUCCUUAGCUACAGUGACAGAAUUCAUGGUUAAUGGAUCAUUGAAGCAGUUUUUGCACAAAAAGGACAGGACCAUUGAUCGUCGUAAGAGGCUCAUUAUAGCUAUGGAUGCUGCAUUUGGGAUGGAAUAUUUACAUGGGAAGAAUAUUGUACAUUUUGAUUUGAAAUGUGAAAACCUUUUGGUGAAUAUGAGAGACCCUCAGAGGCCUGUUUGCAAGAUUGGUGAUUUGGGAUUGUCAAAGGUGAGACAACACACGUUAGUAUCGGGAGGGGUUCGUGGAACUUUGCCUUGGAUGGCGCCAGAGCUUCUUAGUGGGAAAAGUAACAUGGUGACAGAGAAGAUUGAUGUUUACUCAUUUGGAAUUGUUAUGUGGGAACUACUCACAGGAGAUGAACCAUAUUCAGAUAUGCAUUGUGCUUCAAUAAUCGGAGGAAUUGUGAACAAUUGUUUACGCCCUGAAAUUCCGACAUGGUGCGACCCAGAAUGGAAGGCUUUAAUGUCAAGCUGUUGGGACUCGGAUCCAGCUAAGAGACCAUCAUUUUCAGAAAUUUCUCAGAAGCUAAGGAAUAUGGCAGCUGCAAUGAAUGUGAAAUAGUUGUUAAUCUCCAAUCCAACCCAUCCACUAUUCCAUUCAUAAGCUAAGCCAAGAAUUGGCAAAAGACACUUUUAAAAAAAGAACAUGAAGCAUAGUUUUUGCAACUUUAAGGCAAUCUGCUGGUUCUCAAAGUGUAAGAAGGCUAUUAGAUGUGAUGUCAUUCUCUUGUGGAAUCCUUUUCUUUAGCAUAUUAUCUAUAGAGUAUGGUUAUUAUAUGUGCUCUAUAGAGACUGCAUUGCUGGAAGACUACAAGUACAUAUAUGAAGGAGAUCCAUGUAGUCAUUGGAAUGAUUUCACUUGGGAUUCUGCCGUUGGAAGCGUACGCCUUACAGUAAUGAUACAAUACAUAUAUAUGUUGGUUCUGCUAUAAUUUGCUGGAAGACCUGUUUUCCUAAAUUUUUUUCUUUCACUUCUGUAUGUGGGAGUAUAUAUGUAAAUAAGAAGGAGAUGGAGAGGGGGAGAGGGGAGGGGGGGGAGGGAGGGGUUGCAAAUUGGGAAGGUACACAUCAUCUUUGGGAAGGUAAAGAUACUGCUGCAAGCCUAACAAUGUACUUCCAUAUCUGAGAUGAAACUGAAUUAAAUUUAUUAUACAUAUAAGUUUUGAGAAGAAAAAAUGUUGGUUUGGGUGAGUUUGGUAGGGCCUCA
Molecule: RNA transcript, 4525 nt
Organism: Cucumis sativus (cucumber)
Lineage: Eukaryota; Viridiplantae; Streptophyta; Magnoliopsida; Cucurbitales; Cucurbitaceae
Exons: 11
Source: RefSeq, a predicted model, not a curated record